Molecule: long non-coding RNA, 6764 nt
Filed under: Sus scrofa (pig)
Lineage: Eukaryota; Metazoa; Chordata; Mammalia; Artiodactyla; Suidae
Description: lncRNA (ENSSSCG00015023719.1)
Source: RNAcentral
CAGAAUGCAACUACUUCUGACCCUCUUGUUUAAAAGCUGCCUGGGUCCAAUUCACUUAUGGGCAACACUCAAGAGGGCUCACACUUUAAAUGCACUUGAUCGCUGGUUUGCCAGCGCUUAAUGUUUCCCAGAGAAAGUGAAAAAGAGCCACUUUCCACAGUGGCGAGUCCUCAGAGAGCACGCUCAGGGCUUGGGAGGCGCUGGUUCCAACUGAUCAAGGGAGCAGAUUGUCACACAGGUGGCUCAUAUGUGGUGGAUGUUUCCUGGUGCCCAGCCCGGUCCUUUGCAUUUUCUGUGCGUUAUCUCAUUCAACCCCCCAAUAACUCUAGGCAGGCGGAAUCAUUUUAUGCUGAUUUUAUAGAUAAGCGAACAGGCUGAGGGAGUUAAGUACCGUUGACAGGAGGAAUUGAGUGAAGUAGGCAGCUGAUCAUCCAAGAGGCUGGGAGUGGACACUGGCAACUUUGUAACACUUUUUUUUCUAGAAAAGGUAUUGUAGAGCCAGCAAGAGCCAACGUGGCCUGCCCCUUAGCAGUUAAUCAUCAUUCCCAGUUAGUUAUACUGUUCACCAGAGAGCAGGGAUUCGGGGUGCCUGGGACAGGGGCCCACGCUUCCUUCAGCAUGCUUCUGGCUUUUCUCCCCUGCCCUCCCACUCUAGGACAGGUUUUCAUGCUCUCUCUUGGGGCAUCACUUCCAGCCUCUUCUCCCAGCUUCCACCCUCGGCUCCUCAUCCUGGUAGUGAAAUUUCUGACCAGUUUGGCUCCAACGUGCUUUUCCAACUUUUCAUCCUGCCUCUUGUCAAUGUCCUCUCCCGUCCCAGCCUCAAUUGCAUGCUUCCAUUUCUCGCUUUCAAUUCUCCUCCGGCCCUAAAUCCUGUCCACACAUCAAUCUGGUCGCCUCCUUUCAGCCUCCCCAACCUCUUUAGGCCACAACAGGGCACUUCUCCUUCUGAUCACAUGGAACUUUUCUGGUCUAGCAUGGACAUGGGACAUUUAAGCAACUUGGGAUGGUCUGUGCUAGCUCUUCUGUGUUUUGUGUUUGCAGUGAGGUUGCAGAACUCCAGGGACCAGACUCAGCACAGUCCAUGUGAGGCCCAUAGGGAGGCUCUGGCCUGGCACAGACGUUGAAACAAACAAAAGGAUGACAUUUGCAUGUUGACAGCACAUGAAUUUCUUCAGUUAGAAACUGUCCUAAGCAAGAACAGCUAAAACAGGAAGCUGCUGGUUGUUCUUUGAGGCACAUAAUAAAUCACAAUAUAAUUUGCUGAGCUUUUGUGCUAUUAGCCCUGGGCGCCAAAAUUGCGAAUUACAGCUCUGAAGGCCAGGGUCCAUCAGAUGGAGGACGGGACCCAUGGGAGUCUGAACCCUGGCUUCACCCCUUGCUGGGUGACUUAGGCAAAUUCCUUAACCUCUCUGACUUUUCCUGUUGUUACUUGGGAAGAAGAAGUAUUCCUUCCUCCCAGGGUUAUUAUUAUAAGGAGUAUUGAGAUUCUGUGUAGAAAAGGAAUUAAGAGUAUAACCAAGGCAUCGAACUGCUAAGUUGUGAAAUACACUGGGAAUUGACAGCAGUGUCUGAAGGGACAUGUGGGGAAAUGCAGGGGGCUGGACAGGAGACCAGCUGCUUAGCCACCUUUGCCUAGAGUGGGUUUGGGCUCCACGUGCAAGGACUGGGUGACAGGGAGGUAGUCGCCCUCAGACAGGGAAGUAUGUCCCUUCCUCCCAGGGACCCUGCCUGACCUCAACUGCUGGGUGACAUGCUCUGCUGGUCUCAGGCAGCCGAUCGCUCACCAGGCCUCUUGGUUGGUUCUCCUCGGCCCCCAUGUUCCCAGCCUGACUGUACGAUGCUGUCCCAUCCCUCGGAAUCUGGCAGGGAGCAGGCGUUCAGCACAUACUGGUUUUUACUGGGCAUUUCCAAGUGCAUACUUUCCAAGAGUAAAAGAAGACUUCUUCCUAGACCUUCUUGCUAACUAGCAAAUGGAUAGUGAAGCUGUUGCAAGGAAGUUGUUGGAAAAAGUCCAAACGGCUGCUUUUCUUAAACUCCUCAUAGAGGUGCAGUGGAUUUCAUUUUUUUGACAGCAACUGCCUAGCUUAGGGCAGAUGUAAGAGCAAGUACAAAAGGGAAUUUGAUCUGAGCAGGCCUUUUGGCUUUGUUUAGCGACUGUUUACUGGAUACCAUAGUAGCACGCCCUGCCCUGGUGUGGUGAGUUAGAUGCCUCAUUAGCCGGGAGGGGUGAAUGGAAAUAAUGUGAGAAUAAAAGCCUAAUUAUUUUAAGACACAUCAAAACAAAAGCCAUGAGGCAAACAAAAGCAACAAAAGCAACGAGGCUCUAACAUUUCAUGAGAAUUCAGCAUCGCUGAAGAAGCUGGUGCUCUCAGCAAAGGACGACAGGGCCCAGAGAGAGCCCAGACACUGAACUGACCUGGCCAGGAGGCGGCUGCUGGGUCAGCCUCCCCGCUGACUCAAGAACCAGCAGGGGCCUGAGUCUGGUUCACCCAAGGAAAGGAACAGAGUGUUCCCUUUGGAGAAGAGCUGCGGGGGUGGAAGGGGCUUCGGACUCUCCGGCCAGGGAUCCAUCCCUGCCAGCGUGCCCCAUCUUUACACCUUUAUGACCUGUAGAAGCUGCAUUUCCUAUUAAAAAAAAAAAAAAAAAAAAGGUUUCUCUCACUUAUUUUGAGACUGUUAAUACCACUUGCCUGUACGUUUAAAAAUUAAUAAAUCAAUCUUGCAAGAGAUUUCUCUAUCAGUUUUUGCAGCUCUGUCAUUCCUUACCAGCACACCUAAGUCUUAAAAGGUGGUCUGUCUUUUCCCCUUUUACUUUUUUUUUUUCCUUUGUCUUUUUGUCAUUUCUAGGGCCACUUCUGAGGGGGAUUUUUUCUUUUUUCUAUCCCACCUCUUUUUUCUCUCUUCCCUCCCUUUUCUUUCUGUUUCCUUUUUAUCUUCCCUUUCCUUCUGCCCUCUUUUCUUAACAACAACAACAAAAAAAAAGGAUUAUUACAUGGAAGACGUCCAGAAGCUGGACUCUCCCAGAGUUGGUUUGUUUCAGCAGCACGAGACAAUCAUUGAAGUCCUAGGUUCUUUCCAUCUUUCCCUCUGCUGUUUGAGACUGUUUUGCUUCCGGGCCGGCUUCCGUCUUGGUCAUAAAAUGGGACCCUUGGUUCUAGGUGUCACAUCAGGACACCUAAGCUGGUAAAGAAAGGAGUGGAGAAAAAUCGGUGACAAGAUUACAGGGAGUGGUGGAGGCUAUGCCUUGGAGCACAUGACCCUGCUGAAGGCUCUCAAAUCCGGAAUGAUUUUCUUCCUGCCGCUUCAAAAUAUUUUGUUGUUGUUAGAGGGAUGAAAAGGGGAUCACGGAUGUUCUGAAAGGACUGCUUUUUGAACAAAUACAAGCAGUCCAAACACUGCUAUUGCUCCAGUCUUGCAGAGGUCAGCACUGAGCUGCAGGGGGCGAUGGGAGCUGGGCCAGAGAUCAAAUAAGGGUGAAGGCUCCCCAGCCCCCGCCUCUCCGCCACUCCACAGCUGCUGGCAACCUUGCUGCUGCCUAGCCCCAGGCCCUGCCUCCUUCCAUCCCGAGGCUUCCUCGGGGUUCUGGGGUGCUGUCUUCUCCUUUUGUGCCCUCCUACCAGCCAGCACAUAGGCUCGUGCUCCCCAUCCAUCACCUGCAUUGGGAUGAAGCUGCACACACACAGCUUGGCGGGCACUGAGGAUGGGCCCUCCAGUCUUUCUUUUCUAACGCAGUUUCUAUUUCCCAUGGUUCUCAAAGUGCGGCCCGAAAACCAGCACCAUCAGCAUCACCUGGGACCUCGUUAAAAACGGAACAUUUUUAGGGCCCACCCCCCGACCUGCUUAAUCAGGAACUCUGGCGGGGAGGUGGGACCAGCAAUCUAAAUCUUAACAAGCCCUCCUGGGGAUUCUGAUAUGCUCUGGUGUUUGAAAGCAAAUGUCCUAAAGCGCUUGGAAUGUUUGGAAACCAACCAUCUAAAAACUGGUUUUUGGAGUUCCCGUUGUGACUCAGCUUAAGAACCUGACUAGUUUCCUUGAGGUUGCGGGUCUGACUCCCGGCCUUGCUCAGUGGGUUAAGGAUCUAGCACGGCUGCAAGCUGCGGUGUUGCUGUGGCUGUGGGAUAGGCCUGCAGCUGCAGCCCCUAUUUGAUCUCUAGCCCAGAAACUUCCAUAUGCUGUAGAUGUAGCCCUAAAAAAAAAGGAAAAAAGAGAAAAAAUAAUAAUGUUUUUUAACCCUGGCUACACAUUCAUGUCAUCUGAGGGACUCUGGAGAAAUUACUAAUGCCUGGAUCCUACUGUUUUCCCCCUCCAUCCCCCCCAGUGCUUAUGUAACGGGUCUGGUGUGCGGUCCAGGCUUUCCAAUUUUUAAAAGUUCCCUGGAUGAUUCUGAAUGGCAGCCAAGGUUGAGAACCACUGAUCUAAAUAAAUAUGGAGACAAUUCCAUUGUGAACGAUUAAGUAGAUAGCCCAAAGAGAGAUACACAAACAAACUAGAAGUAUAAAGAAGAAAGACGAUUUGGGAUAGACAUUAUUGGAGAGGUCUCACUCCUACAAGUUAAAUUAGGCUGAUACGCUCAUUAGCUCCACUGGAAACAAGUAUUUAUGGAUGGUUUCUAAACUGCUGUGGGUGUUACAUAAGAAGUCCUCACUGCUUGAAAAUACACCGCUCACUAGGUUAUGAGACACACAUCAUUUGAUAUGUUCCCUUUCCCUCUUUUGAGGUCGGACCGAGGGAGUAGGUAAAAUAAGCUUGAAAUGCAACAGAGAGCAGUGUCAAGUUGAAACCAUGUACAAGCCCCUGUGUCCCUGUCCUUUGAGGUAAAAGGCUCUUUGCUUGAGUCUCAAAUGGCUGAUGCAAGAAACAGUGAUAGGAAAUGUGCAGAUGUGGAAGCAAAGAAUAGCUGCUGGGCCAGGGAACUGCUAAACAGUUUAGACUAUAAACCUGCCACACACCGAAUCAUUAAACUCCCAGUUCCCUAAAACAUAUAAAGGCCUGAAACACAUUCCUAAGCUAAUUUUACAGGAAGCAAACCACCGCCAGAUGAAAACUACUGACCAUAAUAACAGAGACUAGUUGAAACCAGAAGGUUGAUGAUGCUUGAAACUUCACCUUGAUGCCAGCCAAUCUGAGAACUGGGCACAAGCAGAUCAUGAACCAUGCACCUCUUUCCCUGAAAGCCAUCCGGGAGUUUGGGUCUUUUGAGCAGGAGUUGCCUGUUCUCAUUGCUUGGUGUCCUGCAAUAGAUGCUAACAGUAGAUUGGCUUUACUGGGUGCAGGUGAAUGGACUCGGGUUUAGCCUGGUAACAAAGUCACCAUCAGACAUAAGCCCUAUCAAAUACCUUUAGUGCAGAGGCCUCUUUCGGCAGGAAGCUCACAGAACAAAGGGCAUCCAUGGAUGAUUCUAACCAAUGGGAAAAUAGAAUACAGACUACAAGUCUCUUUUUUUUUUUUUUUUUUGCUUUUUUAGGGCCACACCUGUGGCAUACAAAGAUCCCAGGCUAGGGAUCAGAUCGGAUCUGUAGUUGCCAGUCUACACCACAGCCACAGCAAUGCCAGAUCUGAGCUGCAUCUGUGACCUAAAACGCAGCUUGCAGCAAUGAUGCAUCCUUAACCCACUAAGUGAGGCCACGAAUCAAACCCACAACCUCACGACACUGUGCUGGGUUCUUAACCCACUAAGCCACAAUGGGAACUCCAAUACAAGUCUCUUCUUAAGGGAGGAAAAACAUAAGGCCAGACCUGAGCCUUCCUUUAGGAGGGGAGGCAGUUUUAAUUUAGUAAAACUAAGGAAUCAUGAUAAAAUUUACAUUGCCCCAGUGCAGUGAAUUAUCUUGAUUUGAAAUGAGACAUACAGCAUAAUUAGCUGUGUCACAGUAAGUUAGGCCAGAACCAAAGGUCUCAAUUCAAAGUGCACAAGGCCAUAAUCUGGACUUUUUUGUAGGCCGACUAUCCCAAAGGCCCAGGGAGAUAUGACCACAUAACAAGGUCCAGUCAUUUAUCUCUUUCAACAUUGAAAUCCUAAUCCUAUGUUUGUGUAGUUGUUAAGAUUUGUUAAAACGUGACUGAGCUUUGCCUAAGGUCAAAAAACAUGGCUACUGCAGAACUUAGGUCUCAGCAGAGGUUUGCCCACUGAUUGUACUUCACUGUUAACGGCUUAGGAGGUAAGAAACUCACAGAGAAUCUCUAGGUUUUUCUUCCACAUCUGACGGAAAAGGCUCCUGUUUCCAUAUUAAAAUCUAAGAAUAGCUUCUGGCUGUAAAAACAGCAGCUUGGCUUUCUUCCAUACAGUUUACUAUAGAUGCUAACAGUGUCUGAACCUAAACAAGACGAAUGACUUGGCUAUGACAGGCAAGAUCAAAGCAAAUUCAGUGAUGGUUACUUUUAGUUGAGCCUGGGCUGUGGGCAAAUUAGUCCAAAUUGAAUUCAGUAUUCUCAUAUUCUGAUUUAGUCAAUUUGGGGUGGUGUUCAGAAGUCAUCGUUUAAAACAAGCACCACAUGGGUGAAAUACUGGUCUUAAUAAUCAAUGAGAACAAAUGGGGGCUCUGGCUCAGUGGUAACGAACCCGACUAGUAUUCAUGAGGACAUGGGUUCGAUCCCCAGCCUCACUAAGUGGGUUAAGGAUCCAGUGUUGUUGUGAGCAGACACAGCUUGGAUCCUGUGUUACUGUGGCUGUGGUGAAGGCUGGCAGCUAUAGCUCUCAUUUGACCCUUAGGCUGGGAAACUCCAUAUGCCGUGGGUGCGGCCCUAAAAAGACAAAAAAAAAAAAA